Molecule: long non-coding RNA, 4005 nt
Organism: Cydia fagiglandana
Lineage: Eukaryota; Metazoa; Arthropoda; Insecta; Lepidoptera; Tortricidae
Exons: 3
Source: RefSeq, a predicted model, not a curated record
UGGUGGACGCGUAUUAUUGGGCUGUACAUUCCUGGGUUGAGCAUUCUCGGGCCGCGCAAUAUUGGUCCGGGGCGAUAAUACGAAGCCACUCUUUUCACAGGGCAAUAAUGUACGACCCCAUAAUUCGCGUCCAAUAAUUUGAGUCCCUUGGCUUUCAAUUAUUGGGCUGCGCAUUAUUGGUACAGGUCGAGAAAGCCCGACCCAAUAAUGUACGACCCAAUAAUAGGAAGCCAAAAACCAGAGAGAUUCUUUUUUUUAAGGGAGCUGUCAAAAUUAGUAGGGACGUUCUGACAUUAGCUCUUGACAAUUUAAAAAUAAUCGGUUUUUUCUAGUGCCAUCUUUCAGUGACAUUGACAGUAUUGUAUUGACACUUGUUGGUUUACAAAUACAAUAAAAUGAAUUCUAAUAAAAGAAACAGUAGACUCAGUAGAGGUACGAGGUACUGAAAAAAUAUUAAUUAAUGGAGAAGCCGAAGUUGGAGGAAAACAAGAAGAUUCGAGGAGAAUGGUGUGGCACUUAAUGCCGCCGGGACAGUAACCUAGCUGCAGCUCCAACUCUAGGGAAUUGGGCUGAAUGAACGCAACACGUGAUCGACAGCCCACCUGCUUCCUGCCGAGCGUCCCUACACUACAUCUACAUGGAUUCGCUUAUUCUGCUCUACAAAACUUCUGAGCUGAUACAAGCAGCCAGAAUGAGUCUCUGCUGAGUCGCCGGCGCCGGACGUGCGUCGCGCGCCUCGGGCGACUGACGUCUUCGUGUGAGUCGCCAAUUGCAGGGGAAGAUACGAAUAGUUAGGUAUAAAAGCUACUUUAGUCAACCUCGCCUCAGUACUGUUUGUAUUGACUGAAAUACAAGUAGCAUAUAUGAGACGUUCGGACGUAUCCGUGAAAAUACGAAGGUAAAGGAAAUUGCACUACAUUUUUAGAACCUAUUCACCUGUCAGUAAAAUAUUGAAAAGGAAAGUUCAUGAGUUUUAUUAUUUUCUUUCCUCCAACAGCUUCACAUGGAGCAAAUGUAAACCUUUUAUGUUAAUAAUAUCAGUAAUGUCAAGGUACAACGCUCUUUAGAGCAUAUUGCCAUUCCUUUUACUCGAGUGGCCUGUGGGUUAACUAUACGAAGCGAGCCUACGAUGCAUUAAAAGUGCAGUAUAACAAUGCAUUCAGAAUGCUGUUGGGCUUACCUCGUAGAUGUAGUGCAUCUGGCAUGUUUUGCGAAGCUAGAAGUUUUCUGGCAAUCAUGCGCAAGAAAAUAGUAUCUCUGCUAGGUCGAGUUAGAAGCAGUCCCAAACAUACAUGUUCGAAAAGUAGAACUCCCUUAGUAGGCCAAGCAAUAAGAAGUUAUAGAGGGAAAUGCUAGGAACACAAUUUUUGACUACGUAACUUUGUUUGGACUAGUUAGGAGGUGAACAUAUCAAAAGUCCCCGGCUGUAGCCCCGGUGCUGGGGGGUAGACUAGUUAUAGUCCAAACAAAGUUACGGAGUCAAAAACUGUGUUCCUAGCAUUUCCCUCUACAACGUUUUUUGAGCAUUCAUUUCCUGACCUAUAGAUCGUGUUUCAAUUUAUCGCCUCUCGUUGGCAAUUAAGGUGGUUCGCUUUCCAUACAAAAAAAACAAUUACAUAAGUACCUAAUAGUGUGUAAUUACUUAAUAUAACGCAAUUGUUUUUUGUAUGGAAAGCGAACCACCUUAACUAUUCGCACAACGUUUUGUAGUUGCAGUAAGUACUUACAUAUGGCCGGUUAAAUUUUCGAAAUAGGUAUGUAUUUACGUACAGUGCUAAUUGCCGCACAUAGAAUAAUUAAAGUUUGAUCAAUCGGAAUAUGUUCCUAAGUCACUUAUUACAUUUCGAAUUAUAAGUCUGUAUUUUACAGCUUUAGAUGUGCAUGACUGCAUAUGCACAUCUAAAGCUGAAAAAUGCUUUCAUGAAAUUAUGGCUAAAUUAUGUUAAUAGGGACAAAUGUAUCAUUUUCAACCAAAUGGGUUCUUAUUAUCUGUUGUCAAUAAGGCGCUAUUUCCAUAAAGCUUCAAUUUGAAAUCAGCCUCGUCGACAACCGACAAUGUUAACCUUUUGGUUGAAAACGUCACAAAUUAUGGCGAUAGAGAAUACAAUGUUCUGUUGCCAGAGUGCAGCACUAGUAAAACCCGUAAACGAGUGAAUUGCAAAAAAGUGUAGGUAACACAAUGGAAUAUUCACAAAAAUAUGAAAGAAUGUAACACAAAAUGAAGAAAAUGUAUGUGUUUUUUUUUGUGUUACGUCACACAAAGGACGCCAAAAUCGACGCCGCAAUAUUUUUCACGACGUGUAGAAUAAAAGUGGCGUCGAAUUCAGGAAUCCGCAAAUACUAUGGUAGCCGAUAGCCAAGUAAUUUAUCAAUAGAACAAUGUUAAAACAGUAGUAGAAACGGUUAGCUUUGCAAACUUUUAGUAGAUUGGUUUGGUUUUGGUAGAUUUCUCGGUUUGGCAUGCUUGAUGCUCUUCACAUCACCACAGACGGAGGUCGACAGUUCGAAUCUGUCUUGUUCAACCAAUUGAUGGAGGCACAUGCACGCAUACGAAGUAUACGAACCACAUAUUACACUACCAUCCUGGAGCUAAUUGGAUUAUUUGCAUCUACUAUUAUAGUAUAUACCUAUGCCUUAUUUUUACGCCUAAGACCCUAAGCUUUUAACAAAAACCAUUAUUUCUUUUAUACCUACGGGCGGUUUAGCUCCCGUACCUACCUCUAUUAUACCUAGCCACGUGCUAAAGCAACAAUGUCCUUUAAAUCCGUAUCCCGUAUCGUGAUAGUAUUAAGAUUCAACUCGUCUACAUCGAGGUGGUCGAUCGUCCUAAAUACAUUACCAAAACAUGUUAACUCGUAUGAGCCGUUACAUAGAUUUGAACCUUAAUACUAUCAUGAUAAUUAUUGAUUAAUAUUUUUAAAUAAUUUGUUAAGCAUAUUUACACUUGCAAAUAUACACUUGCAGCAUUCUAAUAUUAUGGUAUGGUAAACAUAUAACAUGUUAUAUAUUCGCGAUUCAUGUCAACAGCCCUAGUGUCAGGCCCCCGCCACCCGCGCCCGCCCGCGCCCCCGCCCCGCAGUAAUAGUUAUCUGUUUCACUCGGGGGCAAAGUUGUUGUUCAAUCGCUCGUGCUAAUAUUGAUACCCGAGCAAGCGAAAGAUUCCAAAAUUGAACCGAUAGCGUAGCGAGUGGUUAAAAAAAUGGAAUCUUGAGCGUUGCGAGGGUUUCAAAGCGCGAGGGUUAAACAAAAUUUGCUCCCGAGUGAAACACAAAAUGUUUCACCACACCGACCCGAAGCAAAUAUUAAAUGUAAAAUAUCAAACAAAAUCAAAUCCAAAUUAAUGUUACCUAUUAAAUAUUUAUCAUCCAAAAUCAUCAUAAAAGUCAGUUCUACCAGCAAACAUAAGAAAACAACUCAAAAUUUGCAUUUGAUUACUUUGCCUCACAUGUGAAUAAAAUGCAACUUUGCUAUCAGUUUUUGAAGUGCUAAGAAAGCCUUUCCGAGUAGGUGUGGUGAAAAAUAUAAAGUUCUAAUGCUGAAACGUAUCACUAUCACUGUUUAGUUAGAACAACAUGAACCUCAUAGAACCCUCUUUCAAGUGCUAUUGAAAGAGGCGGCUAUACAGGGCCUGGGGCCUAGGGCGGCGAAUAGUUAUUUACGAUACAAGUGCGGAAAAGAGGAAAUUCGAACGAGUGGCGAUAAAUUAAAACACGACCGAAGGGAGUGUUUUAAAUCCACACGAUUUGCAAAUUACCUAUUCGCACGUGUAUCGUACAACGUUUUACAGUACAUGGCCCUUUAAGCUUUUGACAUACGCACGAAAAGUGCUAUUUUACGCACUAGUGCGGGAAAAUAGGACCAUAAUUAUAUACUUUAAAUGAUAUUUUUAUUAUUAAUUUGUAUAAAUGAAUGUCAUUAGUCAUUGCCUACAUUAAAUGUACUUAAUCUAUGCUUCCAUAAAUAUAUUUACUAUCAUUAUCAAUAUAUUACAAGACGUUGCACAUA